CCCUAUCUUCCGUGGGCGCUGCAGAUUUGAGGAAGCCUGCUCCUAGUACGAGAGGACCGGAGUGGACACACCUCUGGUGUAUCGGUUGUCACGCCAGUGGCAUUGCCGAGUAGCUAAGUGUGGAAGAGAUAACCGCUGAAAGCAUCUAAGCGGGAAACUCGUUUCAAGAUGAGAUCUGCCGGGGCCUUGAGCCCCCUGAAGAGUCGUUCAAGACCAGGACGUUGAUAGGUCGGGUGUGGAAGCGCAGUAAUGCGUUAAGCUAACCGAUACUAAUUGCUCGUGCGGCUUGACCCUAUAACUUUG
RNAcentral lists this ribosomal RNA (303 nucleotides) under Limnohabitans planktonicus II-D5. RNAcentral describes it as "partial 23S ribosomal RNA". It matches the Rfam family "Bacterial large subunit ribosomal RNA", at positions 2636 to 2925 of the family's 2925-position model. Lineage: Bacteria; Pseudomonadati; Pseudomonadota; Betaproteobacteria; Burkholderiales; Comamonadaceae. The record is from RNAcentral.